CAGAAAAGUGGACUUUUCUGUAGAAUGACCCAUUCAUUGUAAAAUGAAGUAAAUAUUAAAAAUGAACAACUUUCAUGUUAGCCUAUGGGAAAAAAUAAUGGAGUAACUUCAACCUACUAACUAAUUAAAGAUGUCAUCAGAUCAUGUGUGCUUUCAGCAGUUAAAAUUUUAAACAUCAAAAUCAUGAUGCCCCCCAAUAGUAGGCUACUGAAUAUAAGAUGUGGGAUAAUAUAAGAAUGGGACAUUUUAUCCAAGUCAUCUCAAUGGUAAAAAGUGUCCCAAUCACCCUGAACUGGAGCUCUAAAAUAAUGUUAUUGACUUCAACUGAUGAAUGCAGCCAAAGAAAAGAUGAAGAAUGGAAAAGCACUUUGCUGGCAAAGAAAUUGGAAAAUAACACAGGUAAGACAAUUCCUAUACCCAUAAAUACCUGUCAAACAUGGUUUUAUUAAAGAAAAGUUAUUUUAAAAAAAUUACUUUAAUUUUUACACAUAAGAAAGGUAUAGCAUGUGGCAAAAAGUGUAAUAUAGCCACACUGUGAGAUACAAGCAAGUGACAAUCGAGUGACGUCAUUCUUUAGGUUACGCGCAUGUAUCCAUGGCAACGCUCGGCGUCGACAGUUAACGGUCCUGCCGGUGAUUUUCUCAGAUGAGGCCUUGAGUUUUCUCUUUCGUCGGUCAAAAAGGUUAGAAGCCAUAGAAAAAACUGCCAUCGGACUGCCACAGCUGACAACGAGAGACGCGCGUGCACAACUGCAUAACACACACACACACACACACACACACACACACACACACGGAAAGAGCACAACAAUUAUGAAACUGAUAAUUUAUUAUAAAUAAAUAAAUGUAUUUUUCUCCUUA
This is a long non-coding RNA of Megalobrama amblycephala (Wuchang bream), 860 nucleotides long. RefSeq lists it as uncharacterized. The transcript is spliced from 2 exons. NCBI's taxonomy places the organism in Eukaryota, Metazoa, Chordata, Actinopteri, Cypriniformes, Xenocyprididae. The record is from RefSeq and is a predicted model, not a curated record.